GACGAACGCUGGCGGCGCGCCUAACACAUGCAAGUCGAACGAGCGAGAGAGAGCUUGCUUUCUCGAGCGAGUGGCGAACGGGUGAGUAACGCGUGAGGAACCUGCCUCAAAGAGGGGGACAACAGUUGGAAACGACUGCUAAUACCGCAUAAGCCCACAGCUCGGCAUCGAGCAGAGGGAAAAGGAGCAAUCCGCUUUGAGAUGGCCUCGCGUCCGAUUAGCUAGUUGGUGAGGUAAUGGCCCACCAAGGCGACGAUCGGUAGCCGGACUGAGAGGUUGAACGGCCACAUUGGGACUGAGACACGGCCCAGACUCCUACGGGAGGCAGCAGUGGGGAAUAUUGCACAAUGGGGGAAACCCUGAUGCAGCGACGCCGCGUGGAGGAAGAAGGUCUUCGGAUUGUAAACUCCUGUUGUUGAGGAAGAUAAUGAC
RNAcentral lists this ribosomal RNA (432 nucleotides) under uncultured bacterium. RNAcentral's name for it is "bacterial SSU rRNA". It matches the Rfam family "Bacterial small subunit ribosomal RNA", at positions 28 to 455 of the family's 1533-position model. The record is from RNAcentral.